CCUACGGGUGGCAGCAGUGGGGAAUAUUGGACAAUGGGCGAAAGCCUGAUCCAGCCAUGCCGCGUGUGUGAAGAAGGCCUUCGGGUUGUAAAGCACUUUCAGUGGGGAAGAAAGCCUUGGGGCUAAUACCCUCGAGGAAGGACAUCACCCACAGAAGAAGCACCGGCUAACUCCGUGCCAGCAGCCGCGGUAAUACGGAGGGUGCGAGCGUUAAUCGGAAUUACUGGGCGUAAAGCGCGCGUAGGCGGUCUGAUAAGCCGGUUGUGAAAGCCCCGGGCUCAACCUGGGAACGGCAUCCGGAACUGUCAGGCUAGAGUGCAGGAGAGGAAGGUAGAAUUCCCGGUGUAGCAGUGAAAUGCGUAGAGAUAGGGAGGAAUACCAGUGGCGAAGGCGGCCUUCUGGACUGACACUGACGCUGAGGUGCGAAAGCGUGGGUAGCAAACAGGAUUAGAUACCCGAGUAGUC
This 465-nucleotide ribosomal RNA is filed under the name Vreelandella stevensii. RNAcentral describes it as "partial 16S ribosomal RNA". It matches the Rfam family "Bacterial small subunit ribosomal RNA", at positions 338 to 795 of the family's 1533-position model. The record is from RNAcentral. Lineage: Bacteria; Pseudomonadati; Pseudomonadota; Gammaproteobacteria; Oceanospirillales; Halomonadaceae.